UGCAAGUCGAACGAUGAACCACUUCGGUGGGGAUUAGUGGCGAACGGGUGAGUAACACGUGGGCAAUCUGCCCUGCACUCUGGGACAAGCCCUGGAAACGGGGUCUAAUACCGGAUACUGACCUGCCUGGGCAUCCAGGCGGUUCGAAAGCUCCGGCGGUGCAGGAUGAGCCCGCGGCCUAUCAGCUUGUUGGUGAGGUAAUGGCUCACCAAGGCGACGACGGGUAGCCGGCCUGAGAGGGCGACCGGCCACACUGGGACUGAGACACGGCCCAGACUCCUACGGGAGGCAGCAGUGGGGAAUAUUGCACAAUGGGCGCAAGCCUGAUGCAGCGACGCCGCGUGAGGGAUGACGGCCUUCGGGUUGUAAACCUCUUUCAGCAGGGAAGAAGCGAAAGUGACGGUACCUGCAGAAGAAGCGCCGGCUAACUACGUGCCAGCAGCCGCGGUAAUACGUAGGGCGCAAGCGUUGUCCGGAAUUAUUGGGCGUAAAGAGCUCGUAGGCGGCUUGUCACGUCGGUUGUGAAAGCCCGGGGCUUAACCCCGGGUCUGCAGUCGAUACGGGCAGGCUAGAGUUCGGUAGGGGAGAUCGGAAUUCCUGGUGUAGCGGUGAAAUGCGCAGAUAUCAGGAGGAACACCGGUGGCGAAGGCGGAUCUCUGGGCCGAUACUGACGCUGAGGAGCGAAAGCGUGGGGAGCGAACAGGAUUAGAUACCCUGGUAGUCCACGCCGUAAACGGUGGGCACUAGGUGUGGGCAACAUUCCACGUUGUCCGUG
Molecule: ribosomal RNA, 775 nt
Filed under: Streptomyces sp.
Lineage: Bacteria; Bacillati; Actinomycetota; Actinomycetes; Kitasatosporales; Streptomycetaceae
Description: bacterial SSU rRNA
Rfam family: Bacterial small subunit ribosomal RNA
Source: RNAcentral